RNAcentral lists this ribosomal RNA (310 nucleotides) under uncultured Helotiales. RNAcentral describes it as "eukaryotic LSU rRNA". The stretch from base 1 to 122 matches the Rfam family "5.8S ribosomal RNA", at positions 33 to 154 of the family's 154-position model. Lineage: Eukaryota; Fungi; Ascomycota; Leotiomycetes; Helotiales. The record is from RNAcentral.
UCGAUGAAGAACGCAGCGAAAUGCGAUAAGUAAUGUGAAUUGCAGAAUUCAGUGAAUCAUCGAAUCUUUGAACGCACAUUGCGCCCGCUGGUACUCCGGCGGGCAUGCCUGUUCGAGCGUCAUUUUGACCAAUCAAGCUCUGCUUGGGCCUUGGGGCACGCUAUACCAGCGGCUCUUAAAAUCAGUGGCGGUGCCGUCUAGCUCUAAGCGUAGUAAUUUUUCUCGCUAUAGUGUUAGGCGUCCACCCGCCAGAACCCCCAACUCCUCAAGGGUUGACCUCGGAUCAGGUAGGGAUACCCGCUGAACUUAA